UGAGGUGGCGGCCACCAACUGGGACGUGAGACACGGCCCACACUCCUACGGGAGGCAGCAG
RNAcentral lists this ribosomal RNA (61 nucleotides) under uncultured bacterium. RNAcentral describes it as "partial 16S ribosomal RNA". The record is from RNAcentral.